This 292-nucleotide ribosomal RNA is filed under the name uncultured bacterium. Its description in RNAcentral is "partial 16S ribosomal RNA". It matches the Rfam family "Bacterial small subunit ribosomal RNA", at positions 505 to 796 of the family's 1533-position model. The record is from RNAcentral.
GUGUCAGCAGCCGCGGUAAUACGAAGGUCCCGAGCGUUGUUCGGAAUCACUGGGCGUAAAGGGAGCGUAGGCGGUUUGGUAAGUCAGAUGUGAAAUCCCGGGGCUCAACCCCGGAACUGCAUCCGAUACUGCCAGACUUGAGUAAUGGAGAGGUAGCUGGAAUUAUCGGUGUAGCAGUGAAAUGCGUAGAUAUCGAUAGGAACACUCGUGGCGAAAGCGAGCUACUGGACAUUUACUGACGCUGAGGCUCGAAGGCUAGGGGAGCGAAAGGGAUUAGAUACCCCCGUAGUCC